RNAcentral lists this ribosomal RNA (693 nucleotides) under uncultured bacterium. Its description in RNAcentral is "bacterial SSU rRNA". It matches the Rfam family "Bacterial small subunit ribosomal RNA", at positions 65 to 756 of the family's 1533-position model. The record is from RNAcentral.
ACGGAGUUAUUUUGGCAGAAGCCUUCGGGUGGACGCUGAUAUAACUUAGUGGCGAACGGGUGAGUAACACGUGAGCAACCUGCCCUUCAGAGGGGGACAACAGUUGGAAACGACUGCUAAUACCGCAUAAGACCACGGUGUGGCAUCACACAGAGGUCAAAGGAGAAAUCCGCUGAAGGAUGGGCUCGCGUCCAAUUAGCUAGAUGGUGAGGUAACGGCCCACCAUGGCGACGAUUGGUAGCCGGACUGAGAGGUUGACCGGCCACAUUGGGACUGAGACACGGCCCAGACUCCUACGGGAGGCAGCAGUGGGGAAUAUUGCACAAUGGAGGAAACUCUGAUGCAGCGACGCCGCGUGAGGGAAGAAGGUCUUCGGAUUGUAAACCUCUGUUGUCAGGGACGAUAAUGACGGUACCUGACGAGGAAGCCACGGCUAACUACGUGCCAGCAGCCGCGGUAAAACGUAGGUGGCAAGCGUUGUCCGGAAUUACUGGGUGUAAAGGGAGCGCAGGCGGGAGAGCAAGUUGGAAGUGAAAUCUGUGGGCUCAACUCACAAAUUGCUUUCAAAACUGUUUUUCUUGAGUGGUGUAGAGGUAGGCGGAAUUCCCGGUGUAGCGGUGGAAUGCGUAGAUAUCGGGAGGAACACCAGUGGCGAAGGCGGCCUACUGGGCACUAACUGACGCUGAGGCUCGA